RNAcentral lists this ribosomal RNA (699 nucleotides) under Acidithiobacillus thiooxidans. RNAcentral describes it as "bacterial SSU rRNA". It matches the Rfam family "Bacterial small subunit ribosomal RNA", at positions 93 to 788 of the family's 1533-position model. Lineage: Bacteria; Pseudomonadati; Pseudomonadota; Acidithiobacillia; Acidithiobacillales; Acidithiobacillaceae. The record is from RNAcentral.
GAGUGGCGGACGGGUGAGUAACGCGUAGGAAUCUGUCUUUGAGUGGGGGACAACCCAGGGAAACUUGGGCUAAUACCGCAUAAGCCCUGAGGGGGAAAGCGGGGGAUCUUCGGACCUCGCGCUGGAAGAGGAGCCUACGUCUGAUUAGCUAGUUGGUAGGGUAAAGGCCUACCAAGGCGACGAUCGGUAGCUGGUCUGAGAGGACGACCAGCCACACUGGGACUGAGACACGGCCCAGACUCCUACGGGAGGCAGCAGUGGGGAAUUUUUCGCAAUGGGGGCAACCCUGACGAAGCAAUGCCGCGUGAAUGAAGAAGGCCUUCGGGUUGUAAAGUUCUUUCGUGGAGGACGAAAAGGUGGGUGCUAAUAUCGCCUGCUGUUGACGUGAAUCCAAGAAGAAGCACCGGCUAACUCCGUGCCAGCAGCCGCGGUAAUACGGGGGGUGCAAGCGUUAAUCGGAAUCACUGGGCGUAAAGGGUGCGUAGGCGGUGCAUUAGGUCUGUCGUGAAAUCCCCGGGCUCAACCUGGGAAUGGCGGUGGAAACCGGUGUACUAGAGUAUGGGAGAGGGUGGUGGAAUUCCAGGUGUAGCGGUGAAAUGCGUAGAGAUCUGGAGGAACAUCAGUGGCGAAGGCGGCCACCUGGCCCAAUACUGACGCUGAGGCACGAAAGCGUGGGGAGCAAACAGGAUUAGAUACCCU